AGAGUUUGAUCAUGGCUCAGGACGAACGCUGGCGGCGUGCUUAACACAUGCAAGUGGAGCGACGAACCAGGGCUUGCCCUGGGGCAGAGCCGCGAACGGGUGAGUAACACGUGGGUCACCUGCCUUGAUGACCGGGACAACCCGAGGAAACUCGGGCUAAUACCGGAUGUGCCCGCAAGGGGAAAGGAAGCUUCGGCCUCCGCAUCGAGAUGGGCCCGCGGCCCAUUAGCUUGUUGGUGAGGUAACGGCUCACCAAGGCUCCGAUGGGUAGCUGGUCUGAGAGGACGAUCAGCCACACUGGGACUGAGACACGGCCCAGACUCCUACGGGAGGCAGCAGUGGGGAAUCUUGCGCAAUGCGCGAAAGCGUGACGCAGCAACGCCGCGUGGGGGAAGAAGGCUUUCGGGUUGUAAACCCCUUUCAGUUGGGACGAAGCUUCGCCGGUGAAUAGCCGGCCGGAGUGACGGUACCUUCACAAGAAGCACCGGCUAACUACGUGCCAGCAGCCGCGGUAAUACGUAGGGUGCAAGCGUUGUCCGGAAUUAUUGGGCGUAAAGAGCGUGUAGGCGGCCCGAUUAGUCCGCUGUGAAAGUCCAAGGCUCAACCUUGGAAAGCCGGUGGAUACUGUCGGGCUAGAGUCCGGAAGGGGCGAGUGGAAUUCCUGGUGUAGCGGUGAAAUGCGCAGAUAUCAGGAGGAACACCAAUGGCGAAGGCAGCUCGCUGGGACGUGACUGACGCUGAGACGCGAAAGCGUGGGGAGCAAACAGGAUUAGAUACCCCGGUAGUCC
RNAcentral lists this ribosomal RNA (788 nucleotides) under uncultured bacterium. RNAcentral's name for it is "bacterial SSU rRNA". It matches the Rfam family "Bacterial small subunit ribosomal RNA", at positions 8 to 796 of the family's 1533-position model. The record is from RNAcentral.